RNAcentral lists this ribosomal RNA (450 nucleotides) under uncultured bacterium. Its description in RNAcentral is "partial 16S ribosomal RNA". It matches the Rfam family "Bacterial small subunit ribosomal RNA", at positions 354 to 796 of the family's 1533-position model. The record is from RNAcentral.
GUGGGGAAUAUUGCACAAUGGGCGCAAGCCUGAUGCAGCCAUGCCGCGUGUGUGAAGAAGGCCUUCGGGUUGUAAAGCACUUUCAGCGGGGAGGAAGGCGAUAAGGUUAAUAACCUUGUCGAUUGACGUUACCCGCAGAAGAAGCACCGGCUAACUCCGUGCCAGCAGCCGCGGUAAUACGGAGGGUGCAAGCGUUAAUCGGAAUUACUGGGCGUAAAGCGCACGCAGGCGGUCUGUCAAGUCGGAUGUGAAAUCCCCGGGCUCAACCUGGGAACUGCAUUCGAAACUGGCAGGCUAGAGUCUUGUAGAGGGGGGUAGAAUUCCAGGUGUAGCGGUGAAAUGCGUAGAGAUCUGGAGGAAUACCGGUGGCGAAGGCGGCCCCCUGGACAAAGACUGACGCUCAGGUGCGAAAGCGUGGGGAGCAAACAGGAUUAGAAACCCGUGUAGUCC